UGUGUUUUCAAUAAACGAGACAGUAAAUAUAAAAUACAAAAAGUUUUUGAUUCAAAAAUUAAUUUAGAAAUAAUUUUCCGUUGAAAACUACAAAGUAAGAUUUCUCCAACAGGAUAAAAUAUAAUAAAUCUAAAUUGCUCAUUUUGGAAAUUAAAACAAAGAAAAGGUUGUUGCCGGCAUUGAAAAUCGAAAUUUGUUUUCAAUCUUUCCGGUCACAGUUGUAGCUAAAUGAAAGGGAGCGAUUUUAUGUAAGAUAUUAUUCUUGGAGCAAUUGUUUUUGUCAUAAGUUAAAUUUACAACAAUUUAGUUUUAAACACCGAAAAUUUUGAUUUUAAUUCACAUUCGCUGAGUAUUAGUUUUAUUAAUAUGUUUGCCUUACAGCUAAUUUCCUAAUGCAUGUAGGGUAAAACUUUGGUUGGCUUCCUUGCU
Molecule: long non-coding RNA, 429 nt
Filed under: Mytilus galloprovincialis (Mediterranean mussel)
Lineage: Eukaryota; Metazoa; Mollusca; Bivalvia; Mytilida; Mytilidae
Source: RNAcentral